This 374-nucleotide ribosomal RNA is filed under the name uncultured organism. Its description in RNAcentral is "bacterial SSU rRNA". It matches the Rfam family "Bacterial small subunit ribosomal RNA", at positions 526 to 896 of the family's 1533-position model. The record is from RNAcentral.
CGGGGGGAGCAAGCGUUGUUCGGAUUUACUGGGCGUAAAGGGCGCGUAGGCGGCCAGCGCAAGUCAGUUGUGAAAUCUCCGGGCUUAACUCGGAAAGGUCAACUGAUACUGCGCGGCUAGAGUGCAGAAGGGGCAACUGGAAUUCUCGGUGUAGCGGUGAAAUGCGUAGAUAUCGAGAGGAACACCUGCGGCGAAGGCGGGUUGCUGGGCUGACACUGACGCUGAUGCGCGAAAGCCAGGAGAGCGAACGGGAUUAGAUACCCCGGUAGUCCUGGCCUUAAACGAUGGAUGCUUGGUGUCUGGAGUUUUAUAGUCUCCGGGUGCCGUAGCUAACGCGUUAAGCAUCCCGCCUGGGGAGUACGGUCGCAAGACUG